RNAcentral lists this ribosomal RNA (456 nucleotides) under uncultured Anaerolineaceae bacterium. Its description in RNAcentral is "bacterial SSU rRNA". It matches the Rfam family "Bacterial small subunit ribosomal RNA", at positions 910 to 1382 of the family's 1533-position model. Lineage: Bacteria; Bacillati; Chloroflexota; Anaerolineae; Anaerolineales; Anaerolineaceae. The record is from RNAcentral.
UUGACGGGGACCCGCACAAGCAGCGGAGCGUGUGGUUUAAUUCGUUGCUACACGAAGAACCUUACCUGGGUUCGACAUAUAAGUUGUAGGGAACUGAAAAGGGACCGACCUUCGGGAGCUUAUACAGGUGUUGCAUGGCUGUCGUCAGCUCGUGUCGUGAGAUGUUCGGUUAAGUCCGCUAACGAGCGCAACCCUCGCCGUAUGUUACAAGUGUCAUACGGGACUGCCGGUAAAAGCCGGAGGAAGGUGAGGAUGAUGUCAAGUCAGCAUGACCUUUAUAUCCAGGGCUACACACACGCUACAAUGGUCUGUACAAUUGGUUGCCAAGCCGCGAGGCGGAGCCAAUCCGUAAAGCAGGCCUCAGUUCAGAUUGCAGUCUGCAACUCGACUGCAUGAAGCCGGAGUUGCUAGUAACCGCAGGUCAGCUAUACUGCGUUGAAUACGUUCCCGGGGCUU